Gastrolobium bilobum is the source of this 107-nucleotide small nucleolar RNA. Lineage: Eukaryota; Viridiplantae; Streptophyta; Magnoliopsida; Fabales; Fabaceae. The record is from RefSeq and is a predicted model, not a curated record.
AAUCCAUGUUGUGGGCACUUCUUAAGUAAUCCUUUAAAUCUCUCCUACACGUUAUACAGUGUCUCAUGGUCAUCUUGACCAUAACAAGACAUCUCUGGUUUCAGCUU